GAUGAACGCUGGCGGCGUGCCUAAUACAUGCAAGUCGAGCGAAUGGAUUAAGAGCUUGCUCUUAUGAAGUUAGCGGCGGACGGGUGAGUAACACGUGAGUAACCUGCCCAUAAGACUGGGAUAACUCCGGGAAACCGGGGCUAAUACCGGAUAACAUUUUGAACCGCAUGGUUCGAAAUUGAAAGGCGGCUUCGGCUGUGACUAAGGGCAGGACCCGCGUCGCAUUAGCUAGUUGGUGAGGUAACGGCUCACCAAGGCAACGAAGCGUAGCCGACCUGAGAGGGUGAUCGGCCACACUGGGACUGAGACACGGCCCAGACUCCUACGGGAGGCAGCAGUAGGGAAUCUUCCGCAAUGGACGAAAGUCUGACGGAGCAACGCCGCGUGAGUGAUGAAGGCUUUCGGGUCGUAAAACUCUGUUGUUAGGGAAGAACAAGUGCUAGUUGAAUAAGCUGGCACCUUGACGGUACCUAACCAGAAAGCCACGGCUAACUACGUGCCAGCCGCCGCCGUAA
RNAcentral lists this ribosomal RNA (515 nucleotides) under uncultured bacterium. RNAcentral describes it as "partial 16S ribosomal RNA". It matches the Rfam family "Bacterial small subunit ribosomal RNA", at positions 28 to 523 of the family's 1533-position model. The record is from RNAcentral.